AAAAUAUUGAGAGAACAUGACGGUACCUAAGGAGGAAGCCCCGGCUAACUACGUGCCAGCAGCCGCGGUAAUACGUAGGGGGCAAGCGUUGUCCGGAAUUAUUGGGCGUAAAGGGCGCGUAGGCGGAUAUUUAAGUCCGGUGUGAAAGAUCAAGGCUCAACCCUGAAAGUGCAUCGGAAACUGGUUAUCUUGAGGACAGGAGAGGAAAGUGGAAUUCCAGGUGUAGCGGUGAAAUGCGUAAAUAUGUGGAGGAACACCAGUGGCGAAGGCGACUUUCUGGACUGUAACUGACGCUGAGGCGCGAAAGCGUGGGGAGCAAACAGGAUUAGAUACCCUGGUAGUCCACGCCGUAAACGAUGAGUGCUAGGUGUAGAGGGUAUCGACCCCUUCUGUGCCGCAGUUAACACAAUAAGCACUCCGCCUGGGGAGUACGGCCGCAAGGUUGAAACUC
This 451-nucleotide ribosomal RNA is filed under the name uncultured Desulfosporosinus sp. Its description in RNAcentral is "bacterial SSU rRNA". It matches the Rfam family "Bacterial small subunit ribosomal RNA", at positions 448 to 902 of the family's 1533-position model. The record is from RNAcentral. Lineage: Bacteria; Bacillati; Bacillota; Clostridia; Eubacteriales; Desulfitobacteriaceae.